RNAcentral lists this long non-coding RNA (884 nucleotides) under Mus musculus (house mouse). Its description in RNAcentral is "long non-coding RNA chr19:32666294-32667178". Lineage: Eukaryota; Metazoa; Chordata; Mammalia; Rodentia; Muridae. The record is from RNAcentral.
AGACUAAACCACCAGGGUAUAUUGUAGACUACUUUCCCCACACUUUGCUGUGGCCAUAGUUAUUAUAGAAGCACCUAAGUGAUCGCUGUAAUCAAAACCAACCCACAUUAUUAAUGAGAAGCUAAAACUUGAUUUCUGUAGCAAAGAUAAAAUCCAAACAUCAUCCUAGUGAAGAUAUAUACACAUAAGCUUUGAGAGCUGCUGAGCACUGUAAUAUACAAAGUUGACAUUAGUGAAUACUGCCGACACUGAAAGACUGACCAUCCUCCUAAGCUAGGGCCCUGCCUACCCUAGACAACACAGGAAGAGGUUCCGAUUUCCUGAAGCUACUUAGUGAAGCUCUCCUUGAGGAUGCUAAGAAGCAACCACCUUGGAGACCGAAGGUUUAGGGUAUCCCAAACUCUUGAUGUUAUAAGUUUCCAGAAUGAACCUGUUGUGAGAUGUCCUUUGAUGGUUUAUUUGCUAAGAGGGAAUUUUGGUAUUUUAUGCAUGGUUCAUUGUUGCCAAGAAAUACAUAAGAGAAAAGGCAUCUUUACAUACAGGUUUCUUUGGAAGAGACCACAGACUGAAAAGAGAAACUGAUUUUUUUCAUACUGCCACGUUUUUUAAAAAUGCUAGGAAAAGCUCUACUGAGAGUAAGUUAUAUACUGUGACCACAGCAAAGUGAGUCUUCGACUGUAUGGCGCCUGUGCUCACUUACAUCAGAGCUAUUUAUUCACUGCUGCCUUUAAAACUAUGUCUUCACUGAAAACGUGACAGGGUUGUAGUGCCUUCUUAGCAUAUGAAGUUGUGAUUUUAAGACAGUAGAGUGCCUUUCUGCUGUAGCACACAGCAUAACUGUUUCAGUGUCCCGCUGGUACCUGUUCUUAUUCAAUAAAUCUCUC